UACGUAGGUGGCAAGCGUUAUCCGGAAUUAUUGGGCGUAAAGAGCGCGCAGGUGGUUGAUUAAGUCUGAUGUGAAAGCCCACGGCUUAACCGUGGAGGGUCAUUGGAAACUGGUCGACUUGAGUGCAGAAGGGGGAAGUGGAAUUCCAUGUGUAGCGGUGAAAUGCGUAGAGAUAUGGAGGAACACCAGUGGCGAAGGCGGCUUCCUGGUCUGUAACUGACACUGAGGCGCGAAAGCGUGGGGAGCAAACAGGAUUAGAUACCCU
This 265-nucleotide ribosomal RNA is filed under the name uncultured prokaryote. Its description in RNAcentral is "partial 16S ribosomal RNA". It matches the Rfam family "Bacterial small subunit ribosomal RNA", at positions 524 to 788 of the family's 1533-position model. The record is from RNAcentral.